AAAUUGAAGAGUUUGAUCAUGGCUCAGAUUGAACGCUGGCGGCAGGCCUAACACAUGCAAGUCGAACGGUAACAGGAAUCAGCUUGCUGAUUCGCUGACGAGUGGCGGACGGGUGAGUAAUGUCUGGGAAACUGCCUGAUGGAGGGGGAUAACUACUGGAAACGGUAGCUAAUACCGCAUAACGUCGCAAGACCAAAGAGGGGGACCUUCGGGCCUCUUGCCAUCGGAUGUGCCCAGAUGGGAUUAGCUUGUUGGUGGGGUAACGGCUCACCAAGGCGACGAUCCCUAGCUGGUCUGAGAGGAUGACCAGCCACACUGGAACUGAGACACGGUCCAGACUCCUACGGGAGGCAGCAGUGGGGAAUAUUGCACAAUGGGCGCAAGCCUGAUGCAGCCAUGCCGCGUGUAUGAAGAAGGCCUUCGGGUUGUAAAGUACUUUCAGCGGGGAGGAAGGGAGUAAAGUUAAUACCUUU
This 473-nucleotide ribosomal RNA is filed under the name Escherichia coli. Its description in RNAcentral is "bacterial SSU rRNA". It matches the Rfam family "Bacterial small subunit ribosomal RNA", at positions 1 to 470 of the family's 1533-position model. The record is from RNAcentral. Lineage: Bacteria; Pseudomonadati; Pseudomonadota; Gammaproteobacteria; Enterobacterales; Enterobacteriaceae.